AAGUCGUAACAAGGUUUCCGUAGGUGAACCUGCGGAAGGAUCAUUAAUGAUUGGUGGCUGUUGCUGACUAGUGUUUCUAGUAUGUGCACGCCACACCUUCAAUCCCACUUACACCUGUGCACCUUCUGUAAUAGAUCUAUGUGGAUACGGAGAUAUGAAAGUUUGCGCUCUCAUACUCUGUUGAAGCAGUCUACUACGUUUUUUUACACACACACAAUAGUCAUUGAAUGUAUUUUUUAUUCUUAUGAUAAAAACAACUUUCAACAACGGAUCUCUUGGCUCUC
Molecule: unclassified non-coding RNA, 284 nt
Filed under: Waitea circinata
Lineage: Eukaryota; Fungi; Basidiomycota; Agaricomycetes; Corticiales; Corticiaceae
Description: partial internal transcribed spacer region
Rfam family: Eukaryotic small subunit ribosomal RNA (bases 1-46)
Source: RNAcentral